AGGACGAACGCUGGCGGCGUGCUUAACACAUGCAAGUCGAACGGAAAGGCCCGCUUGCGGGUACUCGAGUGGCGAACGGGUGAGUAACACGUGGGCAACCUGCCCUCAGCUCUGGGAUAACUCCGGGAAACCGGUGCUAAUACUGGAUAUCGACUGCUGCCUCGCAUGGGGUGUGGUUGAAAGUUUUUCGGCUGGGGAUGGGCCCGCGGCCUAUCAGCUUGUUGGUGGGGUGAUGGCCUACCAAGGCGACGACGGGUAGCCGGCCUGAGAGGGCGACCGGCCACACUGGGACUGAGACACGGCCCAGACUUCUACGGAAGGCAGCAGUGGGGAAUAUUGCGCAAUGGGCGGAAGCCUGACGCAGCGACGCCGCGUGAGGGAUGACGGCCUUCGGGUUGUAACCUCUUUCAGCUCUGACGAAGCGUGAGUGACGGUAGGAGCAGAAGAAGCACCGGCCAACUACGCGCCAGCACGCCGCGGU
This 481-nucleotide ribosomal RNA is filed under the name uncultured bacterium. RNAcentral describes it as "SSU rRNA". It matches the Rfam family "Bacterial small subunit ribosomal RNA", at positions 26 to 521 of the family's 1533-position model. The record is from RNAcentral.